This 267-nucleotide ribosomal RNA is filed under the name uncultured Fusibacter sp. Its description in RNAcentral is "partial 16S ribosomal RNA". It matches the Rfam family "Bacterial small subunit ribosomal RNA", at positions 1118 to 1382 of the family's 1533-position model. Lineage: Bacteria; Bacillati; Bacillota; Clostridia; Eubacteriales; Fusibacteraceae. The record is from RNAcentral.
CAAACAAGGUCAAGCUGUGCACUCUAGACAGACUGCCGUGGACAACACGGAGGAAGGUGGGGAGUGACGUCAAAUCAUCAUGCCCCUUAUGAUCUGGGCUACACACGUGCUACAAUGGCCGGUACAACGGGCAGCGAAGGAGCGAUCCGGAGCGAAUCCUAAAAAGCCGGUCCCAGUUCGGAUUGCAGGCUGAAACUCGCCUACAUGAAGUUGGAGUUGCUAGUAAUCGCGAAUCAGAAUGUCGCGGUGAAUGCGUUCCCGGGUCUU